Xenia sp. Carnegie-2017 is the source of this 720-nucleotide RNA transcript. It is a transcript of the gene named KRR1 small subunit processome component homolog, with no coding region annotated. The record is from RefSeq and is a predicted model, not a curated record. Lineage: Eukaryota; Metazoa; Cnidaria; Anthozoa; Malacalcyonacea; Xeniidae. The transcript has 8 exons.
GCUCAUGGUAAAUUGAAUCGCGAUAAAACAUGGCAGACGAUCAAACUUCCUUAAAUGAAGGCAAGAAGAGCAGAUUCAGAAAAGAAAAACCCUGGGAUCAUGAAGGUAUAGAUCAUUGGAAGAUUGAAAAAUUUACAGAGGAGGACAAUAAGCAUUUACUCCUUGAAGAAAGUUCUUUUGCAACUUUGUUCCCAAAAUACAGAGAAAAAUAUUUACGUGAAGUAUGGCCACUUGUGGAAGCUAAAUUAAAGGAAUCGGGCAUAAAAUGUCAGUUAGAUGUUAUUGAGGGAAGCAUGAGUGUCUACACGACACGAAAAACCUGGGAUCCAUUUAUAAUCAUAAAAGCUCACGACAUGAUAAAGUUAAUGGCGAUGAGUGUUCCUUAUGAACAGGCGAUAAAACUCUGCAAAAAAUCAAGACACGCAAAUCGCAAAGUCUGGCAGAAUGGCAUCGCAGCAGACAGAAUACCAUGAAAUUAAAAAAUGUAAUCGCUGUCGUGAUUUCUACAUCACGGCUAAAUGUGGACAUACUGUCCAUCUGUCCCCGUUAAUGGAGUCACGGGGAAAAUUCAAGUGCAAAAUUUGCGGUGUAUCGGACGCAGGUGUCGAUGCCGCUGUACGUCAAUUUGUGAUAAAACUGUGUACCGAGGGCAUCAUGACGUUGAACAUUGACAACGAAGAUUUAAUGUAACAAUAUAAAUAAAAAUUUACAAAUGUUGAA